CCGAGACUGCAGCGCCGCCGCCGCUCGGGCCUGAGCCACAGGCCCCGCUUUCCGUCGAGCCCUACUUGGCCUGCUUUUGUUUCUUUCCAGGCAUGCAAAUCUUCACAGAGGCAGUGCAGAACUUCUUCAGUUUUAAGAGCUAUUCUGUUAAAAUUGAACAGGACUUUCUGAACAGAGUUCUUUUGAUCUCCUUGACUGCUUUCUAUAUUGUAA
RNAcentral lists this long non-coding RNA (213 nucleotides) under Parus major (Great Tit). RNAcentral's name for it is "lncRNA (ENSPMJG00000013860.1)". Lineage: Eukaryota; Metazoa; Chordata; Aves; Passeriformes; Paridae. The record is from RNAcentral.